Molecule: ribosomal RNA, 492 nt
Filed under: uncultured bacterium
Lineage: Bacteria
Description: partial 16S ribosomal RNA
Rfam family: Bacterial small subunit ribosomal RNA
Source: RNAcentral
AGUGAACGCUGGCGGUAGGCCUAACACAUGCAAGUCGAACGGCAGCACAGUAAGAGCUUGCUCUUACGGGUGGCGAGUGGCGGACGGGUGAGGAAUAAAUCGGAAUCUACUUUUUCGUGGGGGAUAACGUAGGGAAACUUACGCUAAUACCGCAUACGACCUACGGGUGAAAGCAGGGGAUCUUCGGACCUUGCGCGAUUGAAUGAGCCAAUGUCGGAUUAGCUAGUUGUCGGGGUAAAGGCCCACCAAGGCGACGAUCCGUAGCUGGUCUGAGAGGAUGAUCAGCCACACUGGAACUGAGACACGGUCCAGACUCCUACGGGAGGCAGCAGUGGGGAAUUUUGGACAAUGGGCGCAAGCCUGAUCCAGCCAUACCGCGUGGGUGAAGAAGGCCUUCGGGUUGUAAAGCCCUUUUGUUGGGAAAGAAAAGCAGCAGGUUAAUACCCCGCUGUUCUGACGGUACCCAAAGAAUAAGCACCGGCUAACUUCGUG